GACGAACGCUGGCGGCGUGCUUAACACAUGCAAGUCGAACGGAGUGGCGAACGGGUGAGUAACACGUGGGUGACCUUCCCUGCACUUCGGGAUAAGCCUGGGCAACUGGGUCUAAUACCGGAUAGUGUGGGAUGGGCCCGCGGCCGAUCAGCUUGUUGGUGGGGUAAUGGCCUACCAAGGCGGCGACGGGGCGCCGGCCUGAGCGGGUGGACGGCCACAUUGGGACUGAGAGACGGCCCAGACUCGUACGGGAGGCAGCAGUGGGGAAUAUUGCACAAGGGGCGGAAGCCUGAUGCAGGGACGCCGCGUGGGGGAUGACGGCCUUCGGGUUGUAAACGCCUUUCAGCAGCGACGCGGUAGAUGGAGAAGAAGCACCGGCUAACUACGUGCCAGCAGCCGCGGUAAUAC
Molecule: ribosomal RNA, 408 nt
Filed under: uncultured bacterium
Lineage: Bacteria
Description: partial 16S ribosomal RNA
Rfam family: Bacterial small subunit ribosomal RNA
Source: RNAcentral